This 396-nucleotide ribosomal RNA is filed under the name uncultured bacterium. RNAcentral's name for it is "bacterial SSU rRNA". It matches the Rfam family "Bacterial small subunit ribosomal RNA", at positions 28 to 424 of the family's 1533-position model. The record is from RNAcentral.
GACGAACGCUGGCGGCGUGCUUAACACAUGCAAGUCGAGCGGUAAGGCCCUUUCGGGGGUACACGAGCGGCGAACGGGUGAGUAACACGUGGGUGACCUGCCCUCAGCUCUGGGAUAAGCCUGGGAAACCGGGUCUAAUACCGGAUAUGACUCCAUGACGCAUGUUGUGGGGUGGAAAGCCUUGUGCGGCUGAGGAUGGGCCCGCGGCCUAUCAGCUUGUUGGGUGGGGUGANGGCCUACCAAGGCGACGACGGGUAGCCGGCCUGAGAGGGCGACCGGCCACACUGGGACUGAGACACGGCCCAGACUCCGUACGGGAGGCAGCAGGUGGGGAAUAUUGCGCAAUGGGACGGAAGCCUGACGCAGCGACGCCGCGUGGGGAUGACGGCCUCGGUU